GACGAACGCUGGCGGCGUGCUUAACACAUGCUAGUCGAACGGAAAGGCCCUGCUUUUGUGGGGUGCUCGAGUGGCGAACGGGUGAGUAACACGUGUGUAACCUGCCCUUGACUUUGGGAUAACUUCAGGAAACUGGGGCUAAUACCGGAUAGGAGCUCCUGCUGCAUGGUGGGGGUUGGAAAGUUUCGGCGGUUGGGGAUGGACUCGCGGCUUAUCAGCUUGUUGGUGGGGUAGUGGCUUACCAAGGCUUUGACGGGUAGCCGGCCUGAGAGGGUGACCGGCCACAUUGGGACUGAGAUACGGCCCAGACUCCUACGGGAGGCAGCAGUGGGGAAUAUUGCACAAUGGGCGGAAGCCUGAUGCAGCAACGCCGCGUGCGGGAUGACGGCCUUCGGGUUGUAAACCGCUUUCGCCUGUGACGAAGCGUGAGUGACGGUAAUGGGUAAAGAAGCACCGGCUAACUACGUG
This 468-nucleotide ribosomal RNA is filed under the name uncultured bacterium. RNAcentral's name for it is "partial 16S ribosomal RNA". It matches the Rfam family "Bacterial small subunit ribosomal RNA", at positions 28 to 507 of the family's 1533-position model. The record is from RNAcentral.